RNAcentral lists this ribosomal RNA (328 nucleotides) under uncultured eukaryote. RNAcentral's name for it is "partial 18S ribosomal RNA". It matches the Rfam family "Eukaryotic small subunit ribosomal RNA", at positions 1470 to 1796 of the family's 1831-position model. The record is from RNAcentral.
CCCUUAGAUGUUCUGGGCCGCACGCGCGCUACACUGAUGCAUUCAACGAGUUUCUUCCUGGUCCGAGAGGAAUGGGUAACCUUUUGAAAGUGCAUCGUGAUAGGGAUAGACUAUUGCAAUUAUUGGUCUUCAACGAGGAAUUCCUAGUAGACGUAGUUCAUCAGACUGCAUCGAUUACGUCCCUGCCCUUUGUACACACCGCCCGUCGCUACUACCGAUUGAAUGGCUCAGUGAGGCCUUGGGAUUGGCUUAGGAGGGUUGGCAACGACCCCCCAGAGCCGAAAACUUGGUCAAACUCGGUCAUUUAGAGGAAGUAAAAGUCGUAACA